RNAcentral lists this ribosomal RNA (510 nucleotides) under uncultured bacterium. RNAcentral's name for it is "bacterial SSU rRNA". It matches the Rfam family "Bacterial small subunit ribosomal RNA", at positions 28 to 529 of the family's 1533-position model. The record is from RNAcentral.
GACGAACGCUGGCGGCGUGGAUUAGGCAUGCAAGUCGAAACGGUAUCAUCCUUUCGGGGGUGAGAGAGUGGCGAACUGGUGAGUAACACGUAGGUUAUCUACCCUCAAGACGGGGACAACCCAGGGAAACUUGGGCUAAUACCGGAUGUGAGCAACUUUUAGUUGUUUGAAAGGUGGCGUAAGCUGUCGCUUGGGGAUGAGCCUGCGUCCUAUUAGUUAGUUGGUGAGGUAACGGCUCACCUAGGCAAUGAUAGGUAGGCGGCCUUAACGGGUGGUCGCCCACACUGGGAUUGAGAUACGGCCCAGACUCCUACGGGAGGCAGCAGUCGAGAAUAGUCUACAAUGGUCGGAAGACUGAUAGUGCGACGCCGCGUGAACGAUGAAUCCCUUCGGGGUGUAAAGUUCUUUUAUAUGUGAGCAGUGCUUCUAUAUUAACAGUAUGGGGAGAGAGAUAUUAGCAUAUGAAUAAGCAACGGCUAACUCCGUGCCAGCAGCCGCGGGUAAAACGUC